GAUCCUGGCUCAGGAUGAACGCUAGUUACAGACUUAACACAUGCAAGUCGAGGGGCAGCAUGGUCUUAGCUUGCUAAGGCCGAUGGCGACCGGCGCACGGGUGAGUAACACGUAUCCAACCUGCCGUCUACUCUUGGACAGCCUUCUGAAAGGAAGAUUAAUACAAGAUGGCAUCAUGAGUCCGCAUGUUCACAUGAUUAAAGGUAUUCCGGUAGACGAUGGGGAUGCG
RNAcentral lists this ribosomal RNA (229 nucleotides) under uncultured bacterium. RNAcentral's name for it is "partial 16S ribosomal RNA". It matches the Rfam family "Bacterial small subunit ribosomal RNA", at positions 15 to 235 of the family's 1533-position model. The record is from RNAcentral.